UGGGGAAUAUUGGACAAUGGGGGGAACCCUGAUCCAGCCAUGCCGCGUGUGUAAAGAAGGCCUUAUGGUUGUAAAGCACUUUAAGCGAGGAGGAGGGUACUGGUAUUAAUACUACCAGCUACUGGACGUUACUCGCAGAAUAAGCACCGGCUAACUCUGUGCCAGCAGCCGCGGUAAUACAGAGGGUGCGAGCGUUAAUCGGAUUUACUGGGCGUAAAGCGUGCGUAGGCGGCUAAUUGAGUCGGAUGUGAAAUCCCUGAGCUUAACUUAGGAAUUGCAUUCGAUACUGGUCAGCUAGAGUAUGGGAGAGGAUGGUAGAAUUCCAGGUGUAGCGGUGAAAUGCGUAGAGAUCUGGAGGAAUACCGAUGGCGAAGGCAGCCAUCUGGCCUAAUACUGACGCUGAGGUACGAAAGCAUGGGGAGCAAACAGG
This 430-nucleotide ribosomal RNA is filed under the name Pseudomonadota bacterium. Its description in RNAcentral is "Proteobacteria bacterium partial 16S ribosomal RNA". It matches the Rfam family "Bacterial small subunit ribosomal RNA", at positions 355 to 776 of the family's 1533-position model. Lineage: Bacteria; Pseudomonadati; Pseudomonadota. The record is from RNAcentral.